AUUGAACGCUGGCGGCAUGCUUUACACAUGCAAGCCGAACGGUAACAGGUUAAGCUGACGAGUGGCGAACGGGUGAGUAAUGCAUCGGAACGUGCCCGGUCGUGGGGGAUAACGCAGCGAAAGCUGCGCUAAUACCGCAUACGAUCUGAGGAUGAAAGCGGGGGACCGUAAGGCCUCGCGCGAUCGGAGCGGCCGAUGUCAGAUUAGGUAGUUGGUAGGGUAAAGGCUCACCAAGCCAACGAUCUGUAGCUGGUCUGAGAGGACGACCAGCCACACUGGGACUGAGACACGGCCCAGACUCCUACGGGAGGCAGCAGUGGGGAAUUUUGGACAAUGGGCGAAAGCCUGAUCCAGCAAUGCCGCGUGCAGGAAGAAGGCCUUCGGGUUGUAAACUGCUUUUGUACGGAGCGAAAAGGUCUCCUCUAAUACAGGGGGCUCAUGACGGUACCGUAAAAAUAAGCACCGGCUAACUACGUGCCAGCCGCCGCCGUAA
RNAcentral lists this ribosomal RNA (493 nucleotides) under uncultured bacterium. RNAcentral describes it as "partial 16S ribosomal RNA". It matches the Rfam family "Bacterial small subunit ribosomal RNA", at positions 30 to 523 of the family's 1533-position model. The record is from RNAcentral.